RNAcentral lists this long non-coding RNA (2395 nucleotides) under Homo sapiens (human). Its description in RNAcentral is "HSALNT0324317". The record is from RNAcentral. Lineage: Eukaryota; Metazoa; Chordata; Mammalia; Primates; Hominidae.
CUUCCUUGAUCACCCUGAGUUUGCUGCAAGCUGCUGACGGCAGCUAAUCUGACAUUUGUCUCAUUGAAGUGGAAGAGCAGAUGUGUUGCACUGGAGUCCUCUUGCAGGUCUUCCGUUCUGAAGGCUGCACUCUGCGUCACAGUGUCCUAGACUUGCUGCAGCCCUUCCAGCUGGCCCAAAAGUCAGAUGUCCUGGCUUAAGCUGCUGAAGCCACCUUGGACCAUGAGUGAUCUUGAGAAUGGAAGCCACUGUCUAGAUGUUGGAACAAAGACAAUGGCCUGGGCCUCCCUGAUGACACCGCAGAGUCACCAAUUCUAAUGAACAUACUACCAACAGUGAUUUUCUCCUUGGCCCAUUAACCACACGGAAGGGAGUAUUCGCUGUGGAGUGCCUCUGUAGCUGAGGGCCCCUGGCGCGUGGUUUCAUCAGAGGCAGACAGCUGCGUGAGUCACUGUGGUGGGCAGUGUGCUGGGCCACCCUGCGGGUCCUGCCAGAGUGCUGUGGAAUUCAAGUUUGUCUUCUCCAGUUUUAGUCUCUGCACGUGCGUUGGUCUCCUUUCUGCCCCUACAGUGUGGCCAAGGCCAUUCCAGCCUCAGGAGGGCAAGAGGAGGCCUGUUGGAUGCAUCCUGAAAACACAGGCCAUCACUGUGGGUGAGAUCUACCAGGACAGAUGCCAUUCUGCAAAGUGGGUACUUUCCAUGAGAAUCCAUCCAUGUUUUUCUCUUAUUCCUUCUCUUGGCAGAUUUUCACUCUUUUCACAACCUUGUUUCAUAGACAUCAAACAAUAACACAGCACAGAAGGAAAACAAGGGUCUUCUUAUACAAAUACCAUGUAUUUAAUUCUGGCACUCAUGAUUUAUUUAUAUCAGAAAGUCAUCUUAAAUUUUUAGGAGCUCACAACAUUCAAAACCUCACACAAAUUUCUAAACUAGUAGAGAUGUCUCUGCAUCUCCCACUACUUUCUUCUGCAUGUCAAGUUUCACUUUAGGUUAGAAUAGUCAUAUAUACCCGUUGAUGGGUGCAGCAAACCACCAUGGCACAUGUAUAGCUACGUAACAAACCUGCACAUUCCGCACAUGUAUCCCAGAACUUAAAGUAAAAUAAAAAUAAAAAAAUCACAACAUUGGAAAGCCAAAAAAAAUAGCCAUAUAUAAACUUUUUCAUCUUAAAAUCCAUUUUACUCCUAACUGUCAAGGAAAAACAGAUGGUUCUAAACUCCUCCUUCUAGGCUCCUAGUGGUAAAGCAAUUUGCAGGACAACCAUGGAAGAAAGGUGCCCGCCUUCUCUAAGCUGACAUGGCCCCGCUCCCUCCCUCAGUCUGUAGCCUCAGGAGGGGACUGCUUUGCCUGUGAGUGGGAGGGAGCUACCGUGUGAGUAGUUCCCAACAGACCAUCUGAAGUCAUUUUCCCAGGUGGCAGGAGAAACACAGAGCCAGACGUUACACUGCUUUUCAAAGAGGUAAGCUCUUUUUUUUUAACUGCUAUUUAAAACUCCAAACAAAAAUGAAGCUGUGGAUGCAUGCAAGAAUGAAGCCUAAGCAAAAAUAACUCUUCAAAAAGGAAGCAGGUUUUUUGGAGAGGGUGUGUGUGUGAGGGCGGGGCGGGGGCGAGUCCUUCAAUGUGGUUUUGAAAUUAAGGUCCAUGUUCUGUGAUAAUAAGCUAUGUAUCAAUGAGAAAGGCUGAGAUUAUGACAAGAGGAAAAGGAGUAAAGGAUUUGGCGGUUUAAUCACGUUUCUAUUCUUUUUUAUAUCUGCAUCUUCUUUGAAUGCAAGUAUCAAGUUCUGUUUGGCUUUUGUGGAAAGCCAUUUCCGAAGACCUGCCUUACUUGACUGUUUCUCCCUCUCUGGCUCUCCUGUUACCAACGUCCUAGAGUUGCCUCUGCUGCCCCAGCGAGGAUGGCGACACAAACAGCGGUGGUGUCAGCGGACAGCGGUGGUGUCAGCGGUGACCGAGGCAGGGCCGAGACUCCAGGGCCCUUCGGGUUCAAGCUGUGCCCCCUCGCGCAGUUCAGCACCUGCCAGCACUUCCAAGUGUGUGAUUGUCACGCUUGCCUGAUUACUCCUUCCUUUGGGCUCCCAUAGCAAUUUGUACAUUACUGUGGAAUUGAUCAAAUUGCUUUAUAACUAGCUGUUUAUGUGUCUUUAAUCUGUGUCAUUUUGGAUGGCAGGAAAUGCUCUUUCGGUAAUUUUUUUGUCCACACUGACUGGAAUACUGGUUGGCACAUAGUAGGUAUUCAACAGUUUUUUAUCGAGGGAAUGAAAGCUCUCUAAACCACAGCAAUCAUUUGUAGACAAAGACUCUUAGGGUGUAAUGUGAUUUAACAUCUGAUUUUUGGAAAAUAGUUACUGAGAUCAUUCCGACAAUAAUAGAGUGCAAUACCCUACCUUGAAUAAAGG